Molecule: ribosomal RNA, 3393 nt
Filed under: Triticum aestivum (bread wheat)
Lineage: Eukaryota; Viridiplantae; Streptophyta; Magnoliopsida; Poales; Poaceae
Description: partial small subunit ribosomal RNA
Source: RNAcentral
AUGGCGCCCUUGGCUUCCAAAAUACUUGCCUCUCUCACCAUACUGAUGAUGUGCACCACCGCACUCGUCUCAGCCGCUGGAGCGCUGCCAUCACUUGAACAACAAGCAGGGGCACUUCUUGCCUGGAAAGCCAGCCUCAGUCAGCAAAGCCAAGACGCCCUGCGAUCCUGGGAAAACAUCUCAGCACCUUGCCGUUGGCAAGGCAUCCGGUGUGGUGGGCGCUGGCCGGUGAUUGCCGCCAUCUCCCUGCCGGGGAUGCGGCUGAGAGGGACACUUGAGUCUCUUGACUUCUCGGCUUUGAGGACCUUGGUGGCCCUUGAGCUCUCGCACAACGAGCUUGCCGGGAGCAUCCCUGUGAAUAUUAAGCUCCUCAAAGAACUUCGUGCUCUCCUCCUGCAUGACAAUCAGAUAAGAGGUUCAAUUCCACCUGUUUUAGCAAAUCUCACGAAACUGCGUCUCCUAAUGCUCCAUGACAAUCAAGUCUCCGGUGAAAUACCAAGGCAAAUAGGCGAGAUGGGUAAUCUUGUGAGCCUGAACUUGUCAAACAAUUACUUAGUUGGUCCUAUCCCUUGUGAAAUAGGUCACCUUAAGCAUUUGCUUAAAUUAGAUUUGUCCAGCAAUGACCUUUCCGGACCAGUUUCCUUCAGUCCAGCUAACUCAUCCAUACAAAAUCCUAUGAAUAAUUUUUCAUCUCAGCCUACUGCAAAAGUAAACUUAGAAAACAUAAAUAUGCUAUCAUUAUCCCAUAAUAACUUAAGUGGUCCCAUUCCCAAAGAUAUAGUGAAAUUUUUCGACCUACAACACUUGGACAUAAGCCAAAACAACUUUUCAGGUUCUAUCCCAAGCAAUAUAGGUAACCUGGCCAAACUCACUACCUUGUACCUUUACCAUAACCAACUUUCUGGACGCAUUCCUCGAGAACUAGGUUAUUUAGUGAACUUAGAGGACUUGAGGCUCAACAACAACACACUAUCUGGUUCCGUUCCAAGCAAUUUAUGGAAUUUGACCAAACUCGCUACCUUGCACCUUCACCGUAACCAACUUUCUGGACACAUUCCUCUGGUUUUGGGAUAUUUGGUGCACAUAGAGGACUUGCGGCUCAGCUACAACACACUAACAGGUUCCUUUCCAAGAAAUUUGUGUAAUUUGACCAAACUCAAGAUCUUGUACCUUGGCCAGAACCAACUUUCCGGAAAAAUUCUUUGGGAACUAGGUUAUAUGGUGAAUUUAGAGGACUUUCAGCUCAGUUUGAACAACCUAACAGGUCCUAUCCCAAACAGUUUAGGAAAUUUGACUAAGCUCACCUUCUUAAACCUUAAUUUCAACCAAUUUUCUGGACACAUUCCUCAAGAAAUUGGCGAGUUAAUGAAUCUGGAAAUGUUUGGAGUUUCUUUGAACAAUCUAUCUGGUGCAUUGCCAUCGGGUCUUUGCGCGGGAGGCCGACUACAGUUUCUCACCGCUAAUGGCAACAACUUGGUUGGACCCUUGCCAACAAGCUUGCUAAGUUGCAAAAGCCUAGUCAAACUUCGUCUUGAAGGAAAUCAGCUUCAAGGAGAUAUCUCCGAGAUGGGGCUUCACCCGGAUCUUGUCUAUGUUGAUAUCAGUUCAAACAAAUUAUUUGGUCAAUUAUCUCAUCGCUGGGGUGAGUGUUACAAACUUACAAUGCUACGUGCCUCAAACAAUAACAUUACUGGAGUCAUACCACCAAGCAUAGGGCAGUUAUCUCAGUUGGGGAUACUUGAUGUUUCAUCAAAUAAACUUGAAGGGCAGAUUCCACUGGAGAUUGGCAAUUUAACGUUGCUGUUCAACUUGAGCCUGGGUAAUAACCUGCUCCAAGGAAGUAUACCUAAAGAUAUUGGAUCGCUAAAGAAUUUGGAGUACUUAGAUUUAUCAUCAAACAACCUAAGUGGGAUGAUACAAGGGUCAAUUGAACAUUGUCUCAAGCUUCACUUCCUGAAUUUGAGCCAUAAUCACCUCAAUGGCAGCAUACCAAUCGAACUAGGAAUGUUGGUAAACCUACAAGAAUUGUUGGAUCUAAGUGAUAAUUCAUUUGCUAGUGUCAUUCCGAGUCAGCUGGGUGGUUUGAGCAUGCUCGAAGUUUUGAAUCUUUCACACAAUGCAUUGAAAGGUAGCAUCCCACCAUCAUUUCAGCGCAUGCUCAGCCUCCUAUCCAUUGAUGUGUCAUUCAACAAAUUGGAAGGGUCAGUGCCACAGAGUAGAUUGUUUGAAGAAGCUCCAAUCCAAUGGUUCAUGCAGAAUAAGAAAUUGUGUGGUGUAGUGAAAGGUUUGCCCCCUUGUGACCUUAAUCAAAGUGGUGAACAAAAAAAGAAGCCCAGAGCUAUUUUACUAGCUAUAAUACCUGUUGUUGUAUCUUUUCUGUUUAUCAUGGCACUAGUACCUUUGCAAUGUAAAACAAGGAAAUCCAAGGUGGAAAGCGCAAAUGAAUUGCAACAGACAAAUCUGUUUGCCAUCUGGAACUUUCAUGGAGGAGAUAUGUACAGGCAAAUUGUUGACGCCACAGAAAAUUUUAGUGACGCUCACUGCAUUGGAAUUGGAAGUAGUGGGUCAGUAUAUAGAGCUCAGUUACCAACAUGCGAGAUAUUUGCAGUAAAGAAGAUUCAUACAAUAGAAGAUGAUGAGCUAUUUAAUCGUGAAAUAGAUGCCUUGAUGCAUAUUCGGCAUCGCAAUAUUGUGAAGUUAUUUGGCUACUGUUCUGCUACUCAAGGAAGAUUUCUUUUGUAUGAAUACAUGGAACGAGGAAGCUUAGCAGCAUCUUUAAGGACCAAGGAAACUGCAAUAGAGUUGGACUGGACAAGGAGGUUAAAUAUUGUUAAGGAUGUGGCCCAUGCUUUGUCUUACAUGCAUCAUGAUUGCUUUGCGCCGAUAGUCCAUAGAGAUAUAACAAGCAACAACAUUUUGCUUGAUCUGGAAUUUAGAGCAUGCAUCUCUGAUUUUGGUAUUGCCAAAAUAUUAGAUGUGGAUGGGUCAAACUGCACAAGGCUUGCCGGGACAAAAGGAUAUCUUGCACCAGAGCUUGCAUACACAACAAGGGUGACGGAGAAGUGCGACGUAUACAGUUUUGGAGUGCUCGUGCUCGAGUUGUUCAUGGGACAUCAUCCGGGUGACUUUCUUUUGUCCCUCUCGUCCAUGGACAAGAGAAGUACAAUACCCAAGGAUUUGCUGGACACCCGGCUCCCAUUCCCUAAAGCUGAGAUUGCAAAUGAAAUAUUCAAAGUGAUUGCCAUCGCUAUUCGGUGCAUAGAACCUGACCCAUCACACCGUUCGACAAUGCAGGAUGCAAUCAAGGUGUUCUCUCCAGAUGAAGGGCCCGGUAAUCUUGAUUACCUGCACACUGACAUCGUCAUCCUUGCUUGUGGUCUUGAAUGUUCUUAG